This 450-nucleotide ribosomal RNA is filed under the name uncultured bacterium. Its description in RNAcentral is "bacterial SSU rRNA". It matches the Rfam family "Bacterial small subunit ribosomal RNA", at positions 331 to 795 of the family's 1533-position model. The record is from RNAcentral.
CCAGACUCCUACGGGAGGCAGCAGUGGGGAAUAUUGCACAAUGGGGGAAACCCUGAUGCAGCGACGCCGCGUGAGCGAAGAAGUAUUUCGGUAUGUAAAGCUCUAUCAGCAGGGAAGAAAAAAAUGACGGUACCUGAGUAAGAAGCACCGGCUAAAUACGUGCCAGCAGCCGCGGUAAUACGUAUGGUGCAAGCGUUAUCCGGAUUUACUGGGUGUAAAGGGAGCGUAGGCGGCGCGUUAAGUCUGAUGUGAAAACCCGAGGCUCAACCAUGGGACUGCUUUGGAAACUGUAAAACUGGAGUGCAGGAGAGGUAAGCGGAAUUCCUAGUGUAGCGGUGAAAUGCGUAGAUAUUAGGAGGAACACCAGUGGCGAAGGCGGCUUACUGGACUGUAACUGACGUUGAGGCUCGAAGGCGUGGGGAGCAAACAGGAUUAGAUACCCGCGUAAUA